Molecule: long non-coding RNA, 854 nt
Filed under: Dromaius novaehollandiae (emu)
Lineage: Eukaryota; Metazoa; Chordata; Aves; Casuariiformes; Dromaiidae
Description: lncRNA (ENSDNVG00000013614.1)
Source: RNAcentral
UCCCGCGCCUCGGCGUCGGGCCCUACAACUGGAACACGGAGUGUCUGCGGGGCGACGCCGAGGCCCCCGGCUGGGCCACCGCCUUCCCCCAGGCCCUGGGGCUCGCCGCCUCCUUCAGCCCCGAGCUCGUCUACCGCGUGGCCAACGCCACGGCCACCGAAGUGCGGGCCAAGCACAACCACUUCGUCGCCACGGGCCGCUACGGGGACCACACGGGGCUCAGCUGCUUCAGCCCGGUGCUGAACAUCAUGCGGCACCCGCUGUGGGGCAGGAACCAGGAGACGUACGGGGAGGACCCGUUCCUCACCGCCGAGCUGGGCGCCAGCUUCGUGCGGGGGCUGCAGGGGCAGCACCCGCGCUACGUCAAGGCCAGCGCCGGCUGCAAGCACUUCAGCGUGCACGGGGGCCCCGAGAACAUCCCCGUCUCCAGGCUCAGCUUCGACGCCAAGGUGAGCGUGGGCAUGCCGGGGGGGACGGGGGGAGUCCCCGGCGCUGACCCUCGGUGCUCGCAGGUGCUGGAGCGCGACUGGCGCACCACCUUCCUGCCCCAGUUCCAGGCCUGCGCCCGCGCCGGCUCCUACAGCUUCAUGUGCAGCUACAACAGGUAGGAGCGGGCAGGGCUGGCGGCGGGGCGGCCCGGGGGGGCCCUUCUGCGCUCGCGGCCCCCCAGCCGGUGCCUCCUCCCCGGCAGCAUCAACGGCGUCCCUGCCUGCGCCAACAAGGAGCUGCUGACGGACAUCCUGCGGGGCGAGUGGGGCUUCGAGGGCUACGUGGUGAGCGACGAGGGCGCCGUGGAGUCCGUCAUGCUGGCGCACAACUACACGCGCAGCUUCGAGGAGACGGCGGCGGGUGAG